GGGCCCGCACAAGCAGUGGAGCAUGUGGUUUAAUUCGAUGCAACGCGAAGAACCUUACCUACUCUUGACAUCCAUAGAACUUUCCAGAGAUAGAUUGGUGCCUUCGGGAACCGAGUGACAGGUGCUGCAUGGCUGUCGUCAGCUCGUGUCGUGAGAUGUUGGUUAAGUCCCGUAACGAGCGCAACCCUUGUCCUUAGUUGCCAGCACAUUAUGGUGGGAACUCUAAGGAGACUGCCGGUGACAAAUCGGAGGAAGGUGGGGACGACGUCAAGUCAUCAUGGCCCUUACGUGUAGGGCUACACACGUGCUACAAUGGCCGGUACAAACGGUUGCGAACCCGCGAGGGAAGCUAA
This 353-nucleotide ribosomal RNA is filed under the name uncultured bacterium. RNAcentral describes it as "bacterial SSU rRNA". It matches the Rfam family "Bacterial small subunit ribosomal RNA", at positions 917 to 1271 of the family's 1533-position model. The record is from RNAcentral.